UAGGGAAUCUUCCGCAAUGGACGCAAGUCUGACGGAGCAACGCCGCGUGAGUGAAGAAGGAUUUCGGUUCGUAAAACUCUGUUGUUAGAGAAGAACAGCGCAUAGAGUAACUGUUAUGCGUGUGACGGUAUCUAACCAGAAAGCCACGGCUAACUACGUGCCAGCAGCCGCGGUAAUACGUAGGUGGCAAGAGUUGUCCGGAUUUAUUGGGCGUAAAGCGAGCGCAGGCGGUCAAUUAAGUCUGAUGUGAAAGCCCCCGGCUCAACCGGGGAGGGUCAUUGGAAACUGGUUGACUUGAGUGCAGAAGAGGAGAGUGGAAUUCCAUGUGUAGCGGUGAAAUGCGUAGAUAUAUGGAGGAACACCAGUGGCGAAGGCGACUCUCUGGUCUGUAACUGACGCUGAGGCUCGAAAGCGUGGGUAGCAAACAGG
Molecule: ribosomal RNA, 429 nt
Filed under: Bacteroidota bacterium
Lineage: Bacteria; Pseudomonadati; Bacteroidota
Description: Bacteroidetes bacterium partial 16S ribosomal RNA
Rfam family: Bacterial small subunit ribosomal RNA
Source: RNAcentral